Molecule: ribosomal RNA, 468 nt
Filed under: uncultured bacterium
Lineage: Bacteria
Description: partial 16S ribosomal RNA
Rfam family: Bacterial small subunit ribosomal RNA
Source: RNAcentral
GACGAACGCUGGCGGCGUGCUUAACACAUGCAAGUCGAACGGAAAGGCCCUGCUUUUGUGGGGUGCUCGAGUGGCGAACGGGUGAGUAACACGUGAGUAACCUGCCCUUGACUUUGGGAUAACUUCAGGAAACUGGGGCUAAUACCGGAUAGGAGCUCCUGCUGCAUGGUGGGGGUUGGAAAGUUUCGGCGGUUGGGGAUGGACUCGCGGCUUAUCAGCUUGUUGGUGGGGUAGUGGCUUACCAAGGCUUUGACGGGUAGCCGGCCUGAGAGGGUGACCGGGCAAAGGGGGAGUGAGAUACGGCCGAGACUCGUAGGGGAGGCAGCAGUGGGGAAUAUUGCACGAUGGGGGGAAGCCGGAUGCAGCAACGCGGCGUGCGGGAUGAAGGCCUUUGUGUUGAGAACAGCUGUCGCCUGUGACGAGGCGGGAUUGACGGUAAUGGGUUAAGAAGCACCGGCUAACUACGUG